GAUGAACGCUGGCGGCGUGCCUAAUACAUGCAAGUCGAGCGAACAGACGAGGAGCUCGCUCCCUUCACGCGAGCGGCGGACGGGUGAGUAACACGAGGGUAACCUACCUAUAAGACUGGGAUAACGUCGGGAAAGCGGAUCUAAUACCCGAUAAUAUUUCGAACCGCAUGGAUCGCUAGUGAAAGAUGGCUUAGCUAUCCCUAAUAGAUGGACCUGCGCCGUAUUAGCAAGUUGGUAAGGUAACGGCCUACCAAGGCAACCGUUCGUAGCCGACCUGAGAGGGUGGUCGGCCCCACUUGAACUUGGACACGGUCCCGGCUCCUACGGGAGGGAGGCAGUGGGAAAUUUCCGCCAAGGGCGGCAACCUGACGGAGCCACGGCGCGUGGUUGAAAGAAGGCUUCGGGUCGUAAAACUAUGUUAUUAGGGAAAAACAAACGUGUAGGUAACAGUGCACGGCUUGACGGUAACUAAUCGGAUAGCCACGGCUAACUACCGU
RNAcentral lists this ribosomal RNA (497 nucleotides) under uncultured bacterium. RNAcentral's name for it is "partial 16S ribosomal RNA". It matches the Rfam family "Bacterial small subunit ribosomal RNA", at positions 28 to 507 of the family's 1533-position model. The record is from RNAcentral.